Molecule: transfer RNA, 65 nt
Filed under: Anoplocnemis curvipes
Lineage: Eukaryota; Metazoa; Arthropoda; Insecta; Hemiptera; Coreidae
Description: tRNA-Cys
Rfam family: tRNA
About the family: Transfer RNA (tRNA) molecules are approximately 80 nucleotides in length. Their secondary structure includes four short double-helical elements and three loops (D, anti-codon, and T loops).
Source: RNAcentral
CAGGCUUUAUAGUUUAAUUCAAAAUAUUAGGUUGCAAAUCUAGAGAUGUAAUUUUACUAAAGCUU